Molecule: long non-coding RNA, 749 nt
Filed under: Helianthus annuus (common sunflower)
Lineage: Eukaryota; Viridiplantae; Streptophyta; Magnoliopsida; Asterales; Asteraceae
Description: hypothetical non coding rna
Source: RNAcentral
GUAGCCACAAAUUGUUUCACCCCUAAAAUUCUUUUCCCUCGCUUGAUUGUAACCCUACCCUAACUGUAUCCUCCCUCCUCUCAAAUCGCCCACCCCCAAAAUUUUCUCAUGCGCUCUCUCUCUCUCUCUCUCUCUCUCUCUCUCUCUCUCUCUCCCUCUCUAGAUCACGAUUGAUUUCCACAUCUGCUAGGUUCUCGAUGACUACAACAGGUGCUUGUGGCGGGCGUCGAUAAUGUAAUGUCGGUUUGAACCAGCUCUAUACCAUUUCUGAGGGACUUCAAAGCAAUAUAGUUAUUCUUAUGGAUUAGGAUGUGACGAUGAAGCGAUAUAUUAGGAUACACUCUGAGAGGACCAGAAAGAAGGCCUUUUGAAUCUCGUCCCCUUUCUUGUCGUUAUUCCAAAGCUACUUUAUCUUUUAAAUCAUGGGGAAACUUUCACAAAGGUCGGUGAUGAAGUUUUCUUCAAAAGCAUUCUAAACUCUACGGAGACUGUAGCAAGAGGAAGGGUUCAGAGCUUGGACCCAAAUGAUCUUGUUGGUGAUACAGAGAUUGGACCAGAAUGGUGUGAGGUAGUCCAUGAGGAUUGAGGACGCAUGAUGACUCAAGAUUUUAUGCUUCUUAUUUCUUUAAUUGCUUUUAAUUUCUUUGUUAAAUGUUAAGACUUUAUAUUAGAUAAUGUUAUAACUUAUUUAUGGUUAGUGUUUUUGUUAUGAACAUGCUUAUUUGAAAUAUAAUGAAGUUUUAUAUCUU